RNAcentral lists this ribosomal RNA (484 nucleotides) under uncultured bacterium. RNAcentral describes it as "bacterial SSU rRNA". It matches the Rfam family "Bacterial small subunit ribosomal RNA", at positions 36 to 507 of the family's 1533-position model. The record is from RNAcentral.
CUGGCGGCAUGCCUUACACAUGCAAGUCGAACAGCAGCAUGGAAGAGCUUGCUCUUCUGAUGGCGAGUGGCGAACGGGUGAGUAAAGCAUCGGAACGUACCGUGUAGUGGGGGAUAACGUAGCGAAAGUUACGCUAAUACCGCAUACGCACUGAGGUGGAAAGCAGGGGAUCGCAAGACCUUGCGCUAUACGAGCGGCCGAUGCCAGAUUAGCUAGUUGGUAGGGUAAAGGCCUACCAAGGCGACGAUCUGUAGCGGGGUCUGAGAGGAUGAUCCGCCACACUGGGACUGAGACACGGCCCCAGACUCCUACGGGAGGCAGCAGUGGGGAAUUUUGGACAAUGGGCGAAAGUCUGAUCCAGCCAUGCCGCGUGAGUGAAGAAGGCCUUCGGGUUGUAAAGCUCUUUCGGCUGGGAAGAAAUCGCACAGGCUAAUACUCUGUGUGGAUGACGGUACCAACACAAGAAGCACCGGCUAACUACGUG